This 1217-nucleotide ribosomal RNA is filed under the name Citrobacter freundii. RNAcentral describes it as "partial 23S ribosomal RNA". It matches the Rfam family "Bacterial large subunit ribosomal RNA", at positions 1 to 1259 of the family's 2925-position model. Lineage: Bacteria; Pseudomonadati; Pseudomonadota; Gammaproteobacteria; Enterobacterales; Enterobacteriaceae. The record is from RNAcentral.
GGUUAAGCGACUAAGCGUACACGGUGGAUGCCCUGGCAGUCAGAGGCGAUGAAGGACGUGCUAAUCUGCGAUAAGCGUCGGUAAGGUGAUAUGAACCGUUAUAACCGGCGAUUUCCGAAUGGGGAAACCCAGUGUGAUCCGUCACACUAUCAUUACGUGAAUACAUAGCGUAAUGAAGCGAACCGGGGGAACUGAAACAUCUAAGUACCCCGAGGAAAAGAAAUCAACCGAGAUUCCCCCAGUAGCGGCGAGCGAACGGGGAGCAGCCCAGAGUCUGAAUCAGCUUGUGUGUUAGUGGAACGGUCUGGAAAGUCCGACGGUACAGGGUGAUAGUCCCGUACACCAAAAUGCACAGGUUGUGAACUCGAAGAGUAGGGCGGGACACGUGGUAUCCUGUCUGAAUAUGGGGGGACCAUCCUCCAAGGCUAAAUACUCCUGACUGACCGAUAGUGAACCAGUACCGUGAGGGAAAGGCGAAAAGAACCCCGGCGAGGGGAGUGAAAAAGAACCUGAAACCGUGUACGUACAAGCAGUGGGAGCCUCUUUAUGGGGUGACUGCGUACCUUUUGUAUAAUGGGUCAGCGACUUAUAUUCUGUAGCAAGGUUAACCGUAUAGGGGAGCCGAAGGGAAACCGAGUCUUAACUGGGCGUUAAGUUGCAGGGUAUAGACCCGAAACCCGGUGAUCUAGCCAUGGGCAGGUUGAAGGUUGGGUAACACUAACUGGAGGACCGAACCGACUAAUGUUGAAAAAUUAGCGGAUGACUUGUGGCUGGGGGUGAAAGGCCAAUCAAACCGGGAGAUAGCUGGUUCUCCCCGAAAGCUAUUUAGGUAGCGCCUCGUGAACUCAUCUUCGGGGGUAGAGCACUGUUUCGGCUAGGGGGUCAUCCCGACUUACCAACCCGAUGCAAACUGCGAAUACCGAAGAAUGUUAUCACGGGAGACACACGGCGGGUGCUAACGUCCGUCGUGAAGAGGGAAACAACCCAGACCGCCAGCUAAGGUCCCAAAGUCAUGGUUAAGUGGGAAACGAUGUGGGAAGGCACAGACAGCCAGGAUGUUGGCUUAGAAGCAGCCAUCAUUUAAAGAAAGCGUAAUAGCUCACUGGUCGAGUCGGCCUGCGCGGAAGAUGUAACGGGGCUAAACCAUGCACCGAAGCUGCGGCAGCGACACUAUGUGUUGUUGGGUAGGGGAGCGUUCUGUAAGCCGUUGAAGGUGU